This is a long non-coding RNA of Sarcophilus harrisii (Tasmanian devil), 430 nucleotides long. RefSeq lists it as uncharacterized. The transcript is spliced from 2 exons. The record is from RefSeq and is a predicted model, not a curated record. Lineage: Eukaryota; Metazoa; Chordata; Mammalia; Dasyuromorphia; Dasyuridae.
GCUUUUGUGGGGAGAUAACAGUUCUAUAAAUUUAGGGAUUCUCUACACACCUCAUUUACAAAAACAACUUUAUUAACCUUCGUAUCUCUGGGUUCUGAGACAAUAAUCACAUUUAUACCAUGAGAUUCCUGUAUUUUCUCUUCAUUGGUGUCUUUGUUCUGUCCUUGGCAACAUCAGGUUUCACUGGAUUAUCAAGUCAACCUCCAUAUUCCUGUAGUGUAUGCCCUCCUUCAACCUGUCGGUUAAAAUCAUUACCCUGCAAAAAGGCAAUUGAUGGUACCUGUCCUACAGGUAUGCAGUGCUGUGUGAAUGAUUCAUCUCAAAAAGAAUGCUGAAGAACUUUAUCUCUGCAUGGAACCCUCACCAAGUGCAAGAAUGAAAGUUACUGCCUAGAAUAAAAAAACAAAACAAAACACAGACUUCCUCUGAA